GCGCCAGUAGCUCAACUGGAUAGAGUGUCUGGCUACGAACCAGGAGGUUACGGGUUCGACUCCUGUCUGGCGCGCCA
This 77-nucleotide transfer RNA is filed under the name Bacillota bacterium. RNAcentral's name for it is "tRNA-Arg". It matches the Rfam family "tRNA". From Rfam's summary of the family: Transfer RNA (tRNA) molecules are approximately 80 nucleotides in length. Their secondary structure includes four short double-helical elements and three loops (D, anti-codon, and T loops). Further hydrogen bonds mediate the characteristic L-shaped molecular structure. tRNAs have two regions of fundamental functional importance: the anti-codon, which is responsible for specific mRNA codon recognition, and the 3' end, to which the tRNAs corresponding amino acid is attached (by aminoacyl-tRNA synthetases). tRNAs cope with the degeneracy of the genetic code in two manners: having more than one tRNA (with a specific anti-codon) for a particular amino acid; and 'wobble' base-pairing, i.e. permitting non-standard base-pairing at the 3rd anti-codon position. The record is from RNAcentral. Lineage: Bacteria; Bacillati; Bacillota.